GCAUAUCAAUAAGCGGAGGAAAAGAAACCAACAGGGAUUGCCCUAGUAACGGCGAGUGAAGCGGCAACAGCUCAAAUUUGAAAUCUGGCGCAAGCCCGAGUUGUAAUUUGUAGAGGAUGCUUCUGGGCAGCGGCCGGUCUAAGUCUCUUGGAACAGGGCGUCAUAGAGGGUGAGAAUCCCGUAUGCGACCGGCUGGCACCCGUCACGUAGCUCCUUCGACGAGUCGAGUUGUUUGGGAAUGCAGCUCUAAAUGGGUGGUAAAUUCCAUCUAAAGCUAAAUACCGGCUAGAGACCGAUAGCGCACAAGUAGAGUGAUCGAAAGAUGAAAAGCACUUUGGAAAGAGAGUUAAAAAGCACGUGAAAUUGUUGAAAGGGAAGCGCAUGCAACCAGACUUGUCCGCGGUGUUCCGCCGGUCUUCUGACCGGUCUAUUCGCCGCGGGCAGGCCAGCAUCGUCUGGGUGCGCCGGAUAAAGGCGGUGGGAAUGUGGCCCCUCGGGGUGUUAUAGCCCACUGCACAAUACGGCGCCGCCCGGGCGAGGUCCGCGCUUCGGCUAGGAUGCUGGCGUAAUGGUUGUUUGCGGCCCGUCUUGAAACACGGACCAAGGAGUCUAACAUCUAUGCGAGUGUUCGGGUGUCAAACCCCUACGCGGAAUGAAAGUGAACGGAGGUGGGAACCCUUACGGGUGCACCAUCGACCGAUCCUGAUGUCUUCGGAUGGAUUUGAGUAAGAGCAUAGCUGUUGGGACCCGAAAGAUGGUGAACUAUGCCUGAAUAGGGUGAAGCCAGAGGAAACUCUGGUGGAGGCUCGCAGCGGUUCUGACGUGCAAAUCGAUCGUCAAAUUUGGGUAUAGGGGCGAAAGACUAAUCGAACCAUCUAGUAGCUGGUUCCUGCG
RNAcentral lists this ribosomal RNA (894 nucleotides) under Microxiphium leptospermi. Its description in RNAcentral is "LSU rRNA". It matches the Rfam family "Eukaryotic large subunit ribosomal RNA", at positions 38 to 962 of the family's 3401-position model. The record is from RNAcentral. Lineage: Eukaryota; Fungi; Ascomycota; Eurotiomycetes; Chaetothyriales; Coccodiniaceae.